GGAGACGUAGCUCAACGGGUCAGAGCGCCGGUUUGAAAUGCCGGUAGUGGUGGUUCGAGUCCAUCCGUCCCCGCCA
Molecule: transfer RNA, 76 nt
Filed under: Saprospiraceae bacterium
Lineage: Bacteria; Pseudomonadati; Bacteroidota; Saprospiria; Saprospirales; Saprospiraceae
Also listed under: 1 other name
Description: tRNA-Phe
Rfam family: tRNA
About the family: Transfer RNA (tRNA) molecules are approximately 80 nucleotides in length.
Source: RNAcentral